GAUAACCAAAAAUAGUUACAGGAUUAAGAGUAGGAUUGCUGACAAUUCGUACAUUAGCAAUAGUAGCAUCGUAAAUACCACCCCAAAAUAUUGCCUUGCCAGCAAAAAAUAAUGCAGCCACACCCAAAAAGAUUAAGUGAUGACCCAAAAUAAAACCCAGUUUUUGCGGGUCAUUCCA
Molecule: antisense RNA, 178 nt
Filed under: Hyella patelloides LEGE 07179
Lineage: Bacteria; Bacillati; Cyanobacteriota; Cyanophyceae; Pleurocapsales; Pleurocapsaceae
Description: Hyella sp. LEGE 07179 Antisense RNA which regulates isiA expression
Rfam family: Antisense RNA which regulates isiA expression
Source: Rfam by way of RNAcentral